GACGAACGCUGGCGGCGUGCUUAACACAUGCAAGUCGAACGGAAAGGCCCUGCUUUUGUGGUGUUCUCGAGUGGCGAUCGGGUGAGUAACACGUGAGUAACCUGCCCUUGACUUUGGUAUAACUUCAGGAAACUGGGGCUAAUACCGGAUAGGAUCUCCUGCUGCAUGGUGGGGGGUGGAUAGUUUCGGCGGUUGGGGAUGGACUCGCGGCUUAUCAGCUUGUUGGUGGGGUAGUGGCUUACCAAGGCUUUGACGGGUAGCCGGCCUGAGAGGGUGACCGGCCACAUUGGGACUGAGAUACGGCCCAGACUCCUACGGGAGGCAGCAGUGGGGAAUAUUGCACAAUGGGCGGAGGCCUGAUGCAGCAACGCCGCGUGCGGGAUGACGGCCUUCGGGUUGAAAAACGCUUUCGCCUGUGACGAAGCGUGAGUGACGGUAAUGGGUAAAGAAGCACCGGCUAACUACGUG
RNAcentral lists this ribosomal RNA (468 nucleotides) under uncultured bacterium. Its description in RNAcentral is "partial 16S ribosomal RNA". It matches the Rfam family "Bacterial small subunit ribosomal RNA", at positions 28 to 507 of the family's 1533-position model. The record is from RNAcentral.